GAUGAACGCUAGCGGAAGGCCUAAUACAUGCAAGUCGAGGGGUAACAGGGGAGCUUGCUCCCGCUGACGACCGGCGAACGGGUGAGUAACGCGUACGUAACCUACCUUCAAGAGUGGGAUAGCCCUGGGAAACUGGGAUUAAUACCUCAUGGCAUCAUAAGAUCACCUGAUCUAAUGAUUAAAGCUGAGGCGCUUGAAGAUGGGCGUGCGUUCUAUUAGAUAGUUGGUGAGGUAACGGCUCACCAAGUCAGCGAUAGAUAGGGGGCGUGAGAGCGUAGUCCCCCACACGGGUACUGAGACACGGACCCG
RNAcentral lists this ribosomal RNA (309 nucleotides) under uncultured bacterium. RNAcentral describes it as "bacterial SSU rRNA". It matches the Rfam family "Bacterial small subunit ribosomal RNA", at positions 28 to 334 of the family's 1533-position model. The record is from RNAcentral.